This 752-nucleotide long non-coding RNA is filed under the name Homo sapiens (human). RNAcentral describes it as "HSALNT0362694". The record is from RNAcentral. Lineage: Eukaryota; Metazoa; Chordata; Mammalia; Primates; Hominidae.
CUUUUCGCUCUGGAAAGGGCUUUCAACUGCUUUUCUUAGCAACUCCGCACAGCAGGGUAGGAGGUUUAGCUGCCAGCCAGAGCUGCACGGAACUGUGGCAUGUGGAGGAUGUGAAAAGGGCCACCAUGGGCCUGAGCUCCUGCCAGCCCCCGGUCCCCCAGUCCCCCUGCCAGGAGGCCACAGGCCACCCAGGACAGCAGCCACAAGAGAGGGCUUAGUUGGAGAGCACAGUUUGUUCCCCUGGGGUCCCCUGGGCCUGGAAGAGCUGCUGGCUCUUUCCCAGGGCUUGUCUGUCUGUCCUCUACCAGGGGCUCUCCUUGCCUUGAUGCCUUGUUCGGCUCUGAGACUGAGACUGGGUUCCUAGACUAACCCCAGGGAGUGAGGAGAUGCCCUAUCCUUCUCAUCUGUCCAAGGGUGACAGCAGAGUCCACCCUGGUGUUGUUUUCUGCCGCCCUCACACAGCGCCUGGUACACUGUUCCCUCAGCCACUGCAUAUUGGAUGAAUACGGCUUUCACGGUUCAGGCAGAGAAGGAGUCUCAGAAGCUGCCUCCUUCCCGCUGUACACGAAAAGACAGAGAUCCCUCGGCAGUCAUCUCUAAACUCCCAGCGCCAGGCAGGCGGCGGGCGCACAAUAAACGUUUGUGCAAUGACGCCUGCAAGAGGGGUGGUCCCAAGCGCCGCGCUCCCCUCUGCCCACGUCCUCCUUACCUGUAAGACACCUGCUUUCGUAGGUGCAGCUGGCGGAAACGCU